CUCAAGUUAUUUUCUUAUGCAAUAAAUAUUAUAGAAUUUGCCCAUAUCAUUACCACAUACUAGACAUAACUAUCAUUACAUCACAAACCAUUCAUGAAGCAUUAUUAACUAUUUACCAAUCACUUAAUCUUGCAUUAGUUACUAGCUCAUCAAUGAAUCUCAAUUCAAUCUCUAGGCAUACAUGUUGUAAGCCACAUCACAAGAGAUAAUAACAUACAUGCAUAAGAAUAAUCAUAUGGGCCCAUAACGUCAUUAGCCGACAUAGGCCAAUUUACAUGACUAAUACUACCUUAAUAACAAGCCAAUGCCUUUGGCUAAAUCAUAAUAUUACAUACUCACGUUAAAACCCUAUACAUGUCAUAGACUCGAAUCACUUGAGUUUACUUACUCCGAUAACGUUAACUCGAUAGGGUGAUAAUAUCUCUGACGGCCUCCAACCCGAGCUAACCUGGAAACUCUAGAAAACAUGGGAAAGAAGGGGGGUAAGCUUUCGCUUAGUAAGUUCAUAUGAAAACAAUAAGCAACUCAUUAACUUGUUUUAUCAAUGUUUACAACAUAUUCUCAAGUUCACUACAAGCUGUCUUCCUGAGCAACAGUCACUAAAUUAUUUAUAUCUGGAGCUACGAAACUCCAAAUUAAGUUCCGUUAAUUUUACCUGAAACUAGACUCAUUUAUCUUUCUUUCAUAAAAUUUCCAGAAUUUUUGACUUAGCCAAUUAGUACAGUUUAUUCCUCAAGUUUGCUCCUGAUUCACUGUCUGACAGUUUCAACCCUUCUGCACUAAAGUUCAAUUAUCUCAUAUUACAGGAUUCGAAUAAUAUUCUCGUCUAUUUCUCUUGAAACUAGACUCAUAUGUAUACUAACUAAUUUUUUUCUAGAAUUUUUUCUCAAGCCAUUUAGUACAUUUUAUUAGUUAAAGUUUCCCCUAUUUCAGGGUAUGACUACUCUGACCCCUAUGCACUACGAAUCGAAUUUCUCCAUGUACAGAAUUCCAAUGACCAUGCCAUUUGUUUCCCUUAAAAAUAGACUCAAUAAGGAAUCUAUUUAGGUAAGGUAUGACUCUUAAUAAUUUUUUUACAAUUUACGGUGAAUUUAUAAAAUCAAAACAGGGGAUCUCAAAGUCAUUCAGACCCUGUUUCAUAAGAAUUUAAAUAUCACACAAUAUAGAAUUCUUUUUCUUCCUCUAUUUCUUUCAUGUGAAAAUAGACUCAUUAAGCUUUAAUCCCAUAUUUUAUUCUGCCUCUAACUCAUUUUCCACUAUUUUUAGUGUAUUUUCAAAGUUACACUAAUGUAGUAACUCAAAUCUGUCAAGGCUAAGUUACUCAUUCAUGGUCAUUGUUCAUAAUAUUAAUACAACACCAUUUUAUCCAUCAUGGUAAGAACACAUAUUAUGCAUCAUAGAUCAUCACAUAUCAAGGCAUUCUCAUAGGAUUAGUAUACAUACUUUCACAACUCGUAACAUAACUCGAGUGCAUACUCACCAAUGACUUACCUCAUUGGGACCAUCAUCAACUCUUUCCUUGGAUUGCCCGUUGAACACUUGGAAUACUAAUUAGAUACUCGGAAAAGCCUUUGCACAUAAGUGCCUCAAUUGUAGCUAAAGCUACCUCAUAUCUCAUGACAUGUAAUGCUCACUCUCGAGCUAGUCAUCUAGACUCAUAAUUCCUAGUGACAUGUCACUCGUAUCCUAUUCUAUUCCUAAGGUUCAAACAGGAUUUUUCCUCGUCUAUUAAGGCUUUGUCUUAUCAUAUUUCUAUUAAUCACAUACACAUUAAUAUCUGUACAAUUCAUAUAAUGAUAACAUUUAAAUACAUGUAUAGCAUGGUAUUGUUUACAUACGAACUUACCUCGAUACCACAAAGGUGAAAAGGACAUACUCGUCCAUAAAUCUAUUUCUUUCCGUUCUAGGUCCAAGUCUCAAUUUUCAUCAUCUAUAACAUCACAUUUAGCCUACCAAUCAGUCACAAUAUUCAUAUGGGUCUAAAAAUCAUAUUUUUACAAAUUUUCAUUUUGACCCCUAAACUUUUGCAUAUUUGCACUUUUGUCCCAAUGCUCGUAAAUUAAUUUUUAUCACAUUUAUUUACUCCUUGAGUCUAGAUGAACCAUUUUCAUAACUAUAGCAACUCAUAGUUUCAACUAUUUUACACAUUUACAACUCAUUUUACAACUUAGCAAUUUAUCCAUUUUUAAGGUAUUUUCAUGCAAUUUCUUUCACAAAAGUUGUUUAUUAGACAACUAGGACUCAUAAUCUUCCAUAAAAAUACAGCAAACAACACAUUUACUCUCAUGGUAAAACCCUAGACUCUUCAUCAUUUUGCAAAAUAAUCCCCUUUUAUGAAAGCUUAUGCUUUAGGGGUUCCAAAAAUACAAAAAUCAUCAAGCAAAGACAUUAAAAACACUUACAAGCAAGGGAAAUAUGUUGCUGAAAUUUUCCAGCUUCAAAACCCUUUCUUUGCUGCAUAUUUCGGUGAAGGGGAAGAGAAAAAUGAUAGCUUUUUCUUCUUCUUUUUUUAUUUGUUAAUAAUAAAACUAUUUUUUCUAAUUUUGACUUUUCAACUAUUUUGUCUCCCAUGGCCGGCCAUCACACUUUCAAUGGCCUAAUUUCACUUU
This 2609-nucleotide long non-coding RNA is filed under the name Gossypium barbadense (sea-island cotton). RNAcentral's name for it is "long non-coding RNA (GBAR_LNC000790)". Lineage: Eukaryota; Viridiplantae; Streptophyta; Magnoliopsida; Malvales; Malvaceae. The record is from RNAcentral.